AUUGAACGCUGGCGGCAUGCUUUACACAUGCAAGUCGAACGGUAACAGGUCUUCGGAUGCUGACGAGUGGCGAACGGGUGAGUAAUACAUCGGAACGUGCCUAGUAGUGGGGGAUAACUACUAGAAAGAGUAGCUAAUACCGCAUGAGAUCUACGGAUGAAGGCAGGGGACCUUCGGGCCUCGUGCUACUAGAGCGGCUGAUGGCAGAUUAGGUAGUUGGUGGGGUAAAGGCUUACCAAGCCUGCGAUCUGUAGCUGGUCUGAGAGGACGACCAGCCACACUGGGACUGAGACACGGCCCAGACUCCUACGGGAGGCAGCAGUGGGGAAUUUUGGACAAUGGGCGAAAGCCUGAUCCAGCAAUGCCGCGUGCAGGAUGAAGGCCCUCGGGUUGUAAACUGCUUUUGUACGGAACGAAAAGCCUGGGGCUAAUAUCCCCGGGUCAUGACGGUACCGUAAGAAUAAGCACCGGCUAACUACGUG
Molecule: ribosomal RNA, 482 nt
Filed under: uncultured bacterium
Lineage: Bacteria
Description: partial 16S ribosomal RNA
Rfam family: Bacterial small subunit ribosomal RNA
Source: RNAcentral